ACUAAGCCAUGCGAGUCAAGGGGCUCCUUCGGGAGCACCGGCGGACGGCUCAGUAACACGUGGGCAACCUACCCUCGGGUGGGGGAUAACCUCGGGAAACUGAGGCUAAUACCCCAUAGGCCUCGGAUACUGGAAGGUUCCGAGGCUGAAAGCUCCGGCGCCCGAGGAUGGGCCUGCGGCCUAUCAGGUAGUUGGUGGUGUAAAGGACCACCAAGCCUGCGACGGGUACGGGCCCUGAGAGGGGGAGCCCGGAGAUGGACUCUGAGACACGAGUCCAGGCCCUACAGGGCGCAGCAGGCGCGAAACCUUCGCAAUGCGCGAAAGCGCGACGAGGGGAGCCCGAGUGCCCUUCCUUUUGGGAGGGCUUUUCCGGAGUCUAAAAAGCUCCGGGAAUAAGGGCUGGGCAAGACGGGUGCCAGCCGCCGCGGUAAUACCCGCAGCUCGAGUGGUGGCCACUAUUAUUGAGCCUAAAGCGUCCGUAGCCGGACCCGUAAAUCCCUGGGUAAAUCCUGGCGCUCAACGUCAGGAAUUCCGGGGAGACUGCGGGUCUUGGGACCGGGAGAGGCCGGAGGUACUCCCGGGGUAGGGGUAAAAUCCUGUAAUCCCGGGGGGACCACCUGUGGCGAAAGCGUCCGGCUUGAACGGCUCCGACGGUGAGGGACGAAGGCCAGGGGAGCAAACCGGAUUAGAUACCCGGGUAGUCCUGGCUGUAAACGCUGCCCGCUUGGUGUUGUCGGUCUCUCGGGGGCCGGCAGUGCCGGAGCGAAGGUGUUAAGCGGGCCGCUUGGGGAGUACGGCCGCAAGGCUGAAACUUAAAGGAAUUGGCGGGAGAGCACUGCAACGGGAGGAGCGUGCGGUUU
Molecule: ribosomal RNA, 860 nt
Filed under: uncultured archaeon
Lineage: Archaea
Description: bacterial SSU rRNA
Rfam family: Archaeal small subunit ribosomal RNA
Source: RNAcentral